CCAUGGGUGUGGCAUGCCCAUGCUUAUUCUCCUCUUAUUUUAAAAAUAAUGACUACGAAACGUACAUUUUGUGCAGUUAAAAAUUACGUAAUCUGAGUUUAACGGCAAUGUAAAGCCCAGUGCUGGUAAACUUCCCAUUUAAAUUACAUACGUACGUUUUGU
This is a long non-coding RNA of Etheostoma spectabile (orangethroat darter), 162 nucleotides long. RefSeq lists it as uncharacterized. The record is from RefSeq and is a predicted model, not a curated record. Lineage: Eukaryota; Metazoa; Chordata; Actinopteri; Perciformes; Percidae. The transcript has 3 exons.